This 736-nucleotide long non-coding RNA is filed under the name Callithrix jacchus (white-tufted-ear marmoset). RNAcentral's name for it is "lncRNA (ENSCJAG00000064410.2)". Lineage: Eukaryota; Metazoa; Chordata; Mammalia; Primates; Cebidae. The record is from RNAcentral.
CCUUAGACAGGAAUUUGGGCAUGGUAAAAAAAAAUCAAAGCUUAGUCCUCACUAACCUUUUAUUCUUUUCUUUUAGUACCAGCCAUAAACUCGUCUCAGUUUGGCUUUACAUUACUUCGUUUCCUGCAGCUGGCAUUGGCUGAGAAUAGGGAAGCCUUCAUGAAGAAAGCAGCAUGGCAUCUGGCCUUUGAAGGAUGGACAGAAUUUGGUCAUAUGAAAAUUGGUGUGAAGGGAGGGAAGAACAUUUCUUACAGAAGGAUAAUUGGAUUUCUCUGUGUCUUUUGAUUGAGGAUUGGCAUGCUCUGCUCUCAAAAUGUCUAACUGUCCGUUGGGGAGAAACUCCGUUCUGCAACAACCAAUAGAUCCUGGGCUGUUCUCCACACGAUGGGACAAGAAAGGGUCACUCUGCCCUGUCUGAGGUGGCUCCCUGGGGACUUGGGGGGAAAAAUAAUCUAGAAGAAAAAAGCUACUCACAGUUCUCCACCUGGAGGCUUCUGUUUGUAGGAAACAAAUUACGACAGUAAUAACUACGCUUCUACCACCUUCCUAGGUUCACCUUGGAGACGGAUUAAUGCUUCUGAGAUGGAGGGGUGUUGCUUGCUGUUAAGGUAAAAGUGUGAGUUCUUGCAACUCUCUUUUAAUGGCUUCUGGAAGUGGAGGCUGUCUGCCUCCUGCCUCUGAAAGCUGAACUGCAGAAUAUAACCUCUAAUUCCAGUUACUUAUCACAUCCACAAAG